This 332-nucleotide ribosomal RNA is filed under the name uncultured bacterium. RNAcentral's name for it is "bacterial SSU rRNA". It matches the Rfam family "Bacterial small subunit ribosomal RNA", at positions 568 to 898 of the family's 1533-position model. The record is from RNAcentral.
CACGCAGGCGGUUCUGCGCGUUUCGAGUGACAGCGGGUGGCUUAACUGCCCGAGUAUUCGAAAGACGGCAGGACUUGAGGACCAGAGAGGGACACGGAAUUCCGGGUGGAGUGGUGAAAUGCGUAGAGAUCCGGAGGAACACCGAGGGCGAAGGCAGUGUCCUGGCUGGUGACUGACGCUGAGGUGCGAAAGCCAGGGGAGCGAACGGGAUUAGAUACCCCGGUAGUCCUGGCCGUAAACGAUGACCACCAGGUGUGGGAGGGAUCGACCCCUUCCGUGCCGGAGUGAACACACUAAGUGGUCCGCCUGGGGAGUACGGUCGCAAGAUUAAA